This 671-nucleotide ribosomal RNA is filed under the name Paracoccus limosus. RNAcentral's name for it is "bacterial SSU rRNA". It matches the Rfam family "Bacterial small subunit ribosomal RNA", at positions 23 to 740 of the family's 1533-position model. Lineage: Bacteria; Pseudomonadati; Pseudomonadota; Alphaproteobacteria; Rhodobacterales; Paracoccaceae. The record is from RNAcentral.
CUCAGAACGAACGCUGGCGGCAGGCCUAACACAUGCAAGUCGAGCGAGACCUUCGGGUCUAGCGGCGGACGGGUGAGUAACGCGUGGGAAUGUGCCCUUCUCUACGGAAUAGCCUCGGGAAACUGGGAGUAAUACCGUAUACGCCCUUAGGGGGAAAGAUUUAUCGGAGAAGGAUCAGCCCGCGUUGGAUUAGGUAGUUGGUGGGGUAAUGGCCUACCAAGCCUACGAUCCAUAGCUGGUUUGAGAGGAUGAUCAGCCACACUGGGACUGAGACACGGCCCAGACUCCUACGGGAGGCAGCAGUGGGGAAUCUUAGACAAUGGGGGCAACCCUGAUCUAGCCAUGCCGCGUGAGUGAUGAAGGCCUUAGGGUUGUAAAGCUCUUUCAGCUGGGAAGAUAAUGACGGUACCAGCAGAAGAAGCCCCGGCUAACUCCGUGCCAGCAGCCGCGGUAAUACGGAGGGGGCUAGCGUUGUUCGGAAUUACUGGGCGUAAAGCGCACGUAGGCGGACCAGAAAGUCAGAGGUGAAAUCCCAGGGCUCAACCUUGGAACUGCCUUUGAAACUAUUGGUCUGGAGUUCGAGAGAGGUGAGUGGAAUUCCGAGUGUAGAGGUGAAAUUCGUAGAUAUUCGGAGGAACACCAGUGGCGAAGGCGGCUCACUGGCUCGAUAC